UACGUAGGGUGCAAGCGUUAAUCGGAAUUACUGGGCGUAAAGCGUGCGCAGGCGGUUCUAUAAGACAGAUGUGAAAUCCCCCGGGCUCAACCUGGGAACUGCAUUUGUGACUGUAGAGCUGGAGUACGGCAGAGGGGGGAUGGAAUUCCGCGUGUAGCAGUGAAAUGCGUAGAUAUGCGGGAGGAACACCGAUGGCGAAGGCAAUCCCCCUGGGCCUGUACUGACUCA
RNAcentral lists this ribosomal RNA (228 nucleotides) under uncultured bacterium. RNAcentral's name for it is "partial 16S ribosomal RNA". It matches the Rfam family "Bacterial small subunit ribosomal RNA", at positions 524 to 747 of the family's 1533-position model. The record is from RNAcentral.